GACCUGCAGGGGGAGGAGUGAAGCUCAUUAGCUGCAAACUUGUGGGGGAUCAAUCAAGAAAACAUCACCCACCAACAGAAAGGGAGCAGGUGAUUUUCCCCAUAUUACCACAACCACAUUCCCUAGUAAAUUAAACUUAAAACAAUCUAUCACCAGUGUGUAGUUUUCCCUAGCACCUUAGUUCAGUUUUUAAUAGGAAAGAAGGAGCAGCAGCAUCAGCAGAUAAAAUGGAGGAGUAAAGAAUAGGAGCACUUACCUAGGGGAUGGUUGCACGGUGAUGUCGAGCACUAUGGGGCACUGGUCAGGGCAUCUGGGCUUAGAGUUCCAUGCGUGACUCCAUUCUAGCCAUGGGAGUCCACUUCUUUGAGCUGUGGGUUGGAGAGCUCAAGGAGGAGGAUUAGGAGGGCAGGUCUUGUUGGUAGCCUGGGCAUUGAGGGCGCCGAGAGCAACAUGGUGGCAGCAGCAACAGUACUAGAGUGGGGAUUUGAGGGAGAAGAUAGCCACUGCUAGCAGCAAAUGCAGGAAGGAAGAAGGGGAUUAGCUAGCUGAUGCUUUUACCUGUACGAGUCAUAAAAGGGGAGAGAAGGGGAGAGGUCUGUACAGUACAGGUGAGAACAGAGGAGAAAAGGAAAGGUGGACUAAUUGCUAGAUACACAUUAGUAGGCUACACAGAACACCAACUUGAGCAUAGGGACCCAAUAAUCUGCAGUCCAAGUAUACUUUAGAUAAAUUAUCUAGCACAUCGCAAUUGGAGUUUUGGUAUAAUAAAAAGGUUACAAAUUUGUAAGCACAUUUGUAAUUGUAAAUUAUUGUAUUUAUAUUCGUAUAGUUUAAUUAAAUCUUGACGCGUUUGACAGAAUGCAGGAAGGGAACUAGGGGCGGAGUCGGGUUAGUGGGGAGUGCCAGCUAGUUUCGAUUUGAACUACGAGGAUUCAGGCAAGCGAACCUUUGAUCAUGAUGAUUUGAAUUAUUUUGCGUACCUUAUUUUUCUUCAUGAUACUGUCGCCUUGCAUAAAAUGGAUUUAACAAAAUAUAAGCCGGAAUAUAUAUAGGGAGAAUGAUAGAUGCUGGGAGGGGACAGUUGGAGCAACUGACCUUCCAAUACUUACUAAGUUACUAGAAGGGUAGGGGGUGCCCAUGGAUGGAGAUUGACUGGAAGCGGGACCCUUUACAUAUGACUAUAAUAUAAGGACUAAAAAUCACUCUCACUUGUAUACGUGUGCCAUAUAAAAAUCGUGUCAACCAUAUCCUUGUCGCAAGGCGAGCAACGCUUUGUAUCUUAUCAAGUUGUUACACUCCGCAUGGUGCGUAAUGAUAGAUAGUGGUAAGAUGGGAGAUGAUAUAAACCCCAUAGAACGUUAGUACUCGGAUGGGAGAUGAUAUAAACCCCAUCAAGAUAGUAACAUGUGGUGGAGCGGAGUGUAAUGUGCUGAAAUAAGAGAAGUGUGUUGUACUCUAAAUAUUACAAAUACGCGACUUGUAAUAUAUAGAGUGAAUAUGGGUACAGUGAUACAAGCCUGCGCAGUGCUCAACUAAAUCGUGAUUCACGCCUAUCUCUUGGAUUAGAGGCUACGGGAGCCUAUUGCGGUUCUUUCUCACUAUACAAGUGAUUAGUAGUUUUUCUUAUAAAUUAAAUAUGGACUUCUCUUACAAGAAUCAUUUUUAAAAAGGAAUUAUAAUUGAGAAUUGAUGACUUGAUAUGAUUUAUGAAAUUGCAUGUCAUAUAUCCUUGCUAUUAAUAUUGCUUGCUGAGUACUUGUACUCACCCUUGCUAUUAACCCUCUUUGUUUAGAUGCAAACAUUUCUGGGCAAGCCAGUGAGUUAAGUGGUGGGUUGGAGGAUCAGUACUAUGCCCCUUGGUGUGCUGAAAAUCAAGGGGAUGUUGUUUAUGACUAUGACAUGUAUUAUGGAGGAUGGGAUGAGUAGAUGUAUGCAGGGGAGUGGUCUAGUAGCUUUGUUAGUGAACCUGGAAUAUUGGAGCACCUAGUGACCAAAGUAUUGCUAGCUCCUGCUUGAAACUUGUAUUAUUAAUGGGUGAACGUGUAAGGCCCUGUUUCAGACUUUAGCCCUGCGUGACAUGGUAUUGUAAUGUUAUCUGAACCUUCUAGCUAUUAUUCUGUUGCUAUCUCUGAUGUGGAUCAUUAUUCGCUAGAG
Molecule: long non-coding RNA, 2154 nt
Filed under: Oryza sativa (Asian cultivated rice)
Lineage: Eukaryota; Viridiplantae; Streptophyta; Magnoliopsida; Poales; Poaceae
Description: long non-coding RNA (OSAT_LNC001144)
Source: RNAcentral